UACGGAGGGGGCGAGCGUUAUUCGGAAUUAUUGGGCGUAAAGGGCGCGUAGGCGGCUUGGUAAGUCAAAGGUGAAAUCCCUCGGCUCAACUGAGGAAUUGCCUUUGAAACUGCCUGGCUCGAGGCCGGGAGGGGGUAGCGGAAUUCCCAGUGUAGCGGUGAAAUGCGUAGAUAUCGGGAAGAACACCCGUGGCGAAGGCGGCUCUCUGGGACGGUACUGACGCUGAGACGCGAAAGCGUGGGGAGCGAACAGG
Molecule: ribosomal RNA, 253 nt
Filed under: uncultured bacterium
Lineage: Bacteria
Description: partial 16S ribosomal RNA
Rfam family: Bacterial small subunit ribosomal RNA
Source: RNAcentral